CGAUGGUUGUCGUCAGCUCGUGUCGUGAGAUGUUGGGUUAAGUCCCGCAACGAGCGCAACCCCUAUUGUUAGUUGCCAUCAUUCAGUUGGGCACUCUAGCGAGACUGCCGGUAAUAAACCGGAGGAAGGUGGGGAUGACGUCAAAUCAUCAUGCCCCUUAUGACCUGGGCUACACACGUGCUACAAUGGUUGGUACAACGAGUUGCGAGUCGGUGACGGCGAGCUAAUCUCUUAAAGCCAAUCUCAGUUCGGAUUGUAGGCUGCAACUCGCCUACAUGAAGUCGGAAUCGCUAGUAAUCGCGGAUCAGCACGCCGCGGUGAAUACGUUCCCGGGCCUU
Molecule: ribosomal RNA, 338 nt
Filed under: uncultured Streptococcus sp.
Lineage: Bacteria; Bacillati; Bacillota; Bacilli; Lactobacillales; Streptococcaceae
Description: bacterial SSU rRNA
Rfam family: Bacterial small subunit ribosomal RNA
Source: RNAcentral